This 352-nucleotide ribosomal RNA is filed under the name Acrapex salmona. RNAcentral's name for it is "partial 16S ribosomal RNA". Lineage: Eukaryota; Metazoa; Arthropoda; Insecta; Lepidoptera; Noctuidae. The record is from RNAcentral.
AGGGCUGCAGUAUAUUGACUGUACAAAGGUAGCAUAAUCAUUAGUCAUUUAAUUGAUGACUUGUAUGAAGGAUUUGAUGAAAUAUAAACUGUCUCUUAUUUAAUUAUAAAAUUUAAUUUUUUUAUUAAAAAGUUAAAAUAUUUUAAAAAGACGAGAAGACCCUAUAGAGUUUAAUAAAUUAUUAGAUUGAGAUUAUAUGUAAAACAAAUUUAAAAUAAAAUUAUUUAUUUUGUUGGGGUGACAAAAAAAUACAUUAAACUUUUUUUAUUUAAAAAACAUUUAUAAGUGAUUAAAUGAUCCAAUAAUAUUGAUUAUAAGAAAAAAUUACCUUAGGGAUAACAGCGUAAUUUUU